This is a long non-coding RNA of Rosa rugosa (rugosa rose), 443 nucleotides long. RefSeq lists it as uncharacterized. The transcript has 2 exons. The record is from RefSeq and is a predicted model, not a curated record. NCBI's taxonomy places the organism in Eukaryota, Viridiplantae, Streptophyta, Magnoliopsida, Rosales, Rosaceae.
UCACACAGGCUUUGCCCAGGAGGCAUAGCUAGAACUGAUACUCCUGUCUUUCUGGGUUCAGAAGGUGUAAGCAUUUCAACUGUAGAGGAACCAAGUCAAUUGUACAGAAAGCAAUAUUGAGUUCCUGUGAAUCAUGAUGCUUCAACAGCUCAACUUCAUACAAGAGAAGAGAAGUGAGCAAACUGUUGGAUUUGGAUUGAAAUUGAGCUUUACCAAAAAGAAGUAGAAAAUGAGAAUCCUUUUUCUAUUCUGCAGCACCAAAAUACACCCUUCAACUUACAAAGGACGACGUCUCCACCUCUUUGUGACACAGUUUUGAAAACUCCGAAACCUAGCAUUGAAUAUUUGAGUACAAGUACAACCUAGCUAGCAUUUCUUCGUUUUCUACAAGAUGAACAUCUGUUGUACGUAAUUCAUUUUUAUGUUAAGGCUAAUGUAUAUUA